Molecule: ribosomal RNA, 540 nt
Filed under: Bifidobacterium pseudocatenulatum
Lineage: Bacteria; Bacillati; Actinomycetota; Actinomycetes; Bifidobacteriales; Bifidobacteriaceae
Description: bacterial SSU rRNA
Rfam family: Bacterial small subunit ribosomal RNA
Source: RNAcentral
CCUCCUGGAAACGGGUGGUAAUGCCGGAUGCUCCGACUCCUCGCAUGGGGUGUCGGGAAAGAUUUCAUCGGUAUGGGAUGGGGUCGCGUCCUAUCAGGUAGUCGGCGGGGUAACGGCCCACCGAGCCUACGACGGGUAGCCGGCCUGAGAGGGCGACCGGCCACAUUGGGACUGAGAUACGGCCCAGACUCCUACGGGAGGCAGCAGUGGGGAAUAUUGCACAAUGGGCGCAAGCCUGAUGCAGCGACGCCGCGUGCGGGAUGACGGCCUUCGGGUUGUAAACCGCUUUUGAUCGGGAGCAAGCCUUCGGGUGAGUGUACCUUUCGAAUAAGCACCGGCUAACUACGUGCCAGCAGCCGCGGUAAUACGUAGGGUGCAAGCGUUAUCCGGAAUUAUUGGGCGUAAAGGGCUCGUAGGCGGUUCGUCGCGUCCGGUGUGAAAGUCCAUCGCUUAACGGUGGAUCUGCGCCGGGUACGGGCGGGCUGGAGUGCGGUAGGGGAGACUGGAAUUCCCGGUGUAACGGUGGAAUGUGUAGAUAUC